Molecule: ribosomal RNA, 451 nt
Filed under: uncultured bacterium
Lineage: Bacteria
Description: partial 16S ribosomal RNA
Rfam family: Bacterial small subunit ribosomal RNA
Source: RNAcentral
GUGGGGAAUAUUGGACAAUGGGGGGAUCCCUGAUCCAGCCAUGCCGCGUGUGUGAAGAAGGCCUUUUGGUUGUAAAGCACUUUAAGCGAGGAGGAGGCUACCGAGAUUAAUACUCUUGGAUAGUGGACGUUACUCGCAGAAUAAGCACCGGCUAACUCUGUGCCAGCAGCCGCGGUAAUACAGAGGGUGCAAGCGUUAAUCGGAUUUACUGGGCGUAAAGCGCGCGUAGGUGGCCAAUUAAGUCAAAUGUGAAAUCCCCGAGCUUAACUUGGGAAUUGCAUUCGAUACUGGUUGGCUAGAGUAUGGGAGAGGAUGGUAGAAUUCCAGGUGUAGCGGUGAAAUGCGUAGAGAUCUGGAGGAAUACCGAUGGCGAAGGCAGCCAUCUGGCCUAAUACUGACACUGAGGUGCGAAAGCAUGGGGAGCGAACAGGAUUAGAAACCCCAGUAGUCC